UGAAAUUAUGAGCACUCUCAAACUGCUGAGCAACCCAAGUAACCAUCCAGCAUUAACAUAAAUCAUAUAUUGGCUGGUAAUCAGCAUUCAACAGCACAUCAGUCAUAAAAUAGCUAUACUCAGAGCAAAUCAGCUCUAAAAGAACUGCUCUAAAAGCAGCUGAGAUAGUGCUAAUUUAUUGCUGCUACUAGCAACACUGCUAGAAUUUUAUAUCUACAAACUGGCAACGCGGGAUUGAGUUGCACAAGAGCGAAUGAGAGAGCACUAUAAAACAGAAACAAAAGUAAUUCUUACUCUCUCAUCCAUUCAACAAAAACAAACCAGUGGUGAAGAAGAAUGGCAAAAAUCUGAGGAUUUAUUUUGUGCUUGGAAAACUAUAAGAACUGGUUUUGUACCUGUUAUUUUACCAAAUAGACCGUUCCGAAGGCGAACAGAUCCGCGGACCAAUCCGGUGCAAAAAUAUGUGGAAUGAAGUUUCCUUGCUCAUCCUGGAGCAUCCGGCUUGGUGUAACUGGUCUUCGGAGGAUGUGCAGACGAGAAGUGGCGAGGUUUUGGUCAUGUUUUGACUAAAAAAUCGGAACAGGUCGAACCGAGACUUUGUCGGAGACGAUGCCGGAUACCUUCAGCGUUGGACAUUGCGGAAGGAUUUAAAGUCUGGAAUGUCCAGUUCUGUGCUUCAAGACCAGCAGUAAUGGAGUGUUCGCUAGGUUGCAGGUCCAGGAGAAGUAUUGGCCGUAAAAAGCAUCAUUUUUAUUUAGUGUUGGAUGAUUCUAAAUAGUGCAUUAAUUAUCGAAUAAUAAAUUGAUUUGAGUUGUA
Long non-coding RNA from Culex quinquefasciatus (southern house mosquito), 816 nucleotides. RefSeq lists it as uncharacterized. The transcript has 2 exons. Lineage: Eukaryota; Metazoa; Arthropoda; Insecta; Diptera; Culicidae. The record is from RefSeq and is a predicted model, not a curated record.